GAUGAACGCUGGCGGCGUGCCUAAUACAUGCGAGUCGAGCGAACAGACGAGGAGCUUGCUCCUCUGACGUUAGCGGCGGACGGGUGAGUAACACGUGGAUAACCUACCUAUAAGACUGGGAUAACUUCGGGAAACCGGAGCUAAUACCGGAUAAUAUAUUGAACCGCAUGGUUCAAUAGUGAAAGACGGUUUUGCUGUCACUUAUAGAUGGAUCCGCGCCGCAUUAGCUAGUUGGUAAGGUAACGGCUUACCAAGGCAACGAUGCGUAGCCGACCUGAGAGGGUGGAGAGCCACAAUGAGACUGAGACACGGUACGGACGCAUACGGGAGGGAGCAGCAGGGCAUGUGUGACAAUGUGCGAAAGCUUGAAGGACCAACGUAGCGGGAAUGAAGAAGGUCUUCGGAUAGUAUAACUCUGUUAUCAGGGAAGAACAAAAGUGCAAGGAACUAUGCACGGCUAGACGCUACCGAAACAGAAAGCCACCGCUAACUACAUG
RNAcentral lists this ribosomal RNA (497 nucleotides) under uncultured bacterium. RNAcentral describes it as "partial 16S ribosomal RNA". It matches the Rfam family "Bacterial small subunit ribosomal RNA", at positions 28 to 507 of the family's 1533-position model. The record is from RNAcentral.